This 393-nucleotide ribosomal RNA is filed under the name uncultured bacterium. RNAcentral describes it as "partial 16S ribosomal RNA". It matches the Rfam family "Bacterial small subunit ribosomal RNA", at positions 523 to 918 of the family's 1533-position model. The record is from RNAcentral.
AUACGGAGGAUCCUAGUGUUAUCCGGAUUUAUUGGGUUUAAAGGGAGCGUAGGCGGGAGGUCAAGUCAGCUGUGAAAUGUAUCUGCUUAACGGGUACACUGCAGUUGAAACUGGUUUUCUUGAGUGCGUAAGAGGCAGGCGGAAUUCGUUUGGGAGCGGUGAAAUGCUUAGAUAUGACGAGGAACUCCUAUUGCGAAGGCAGCUUGCUGGGUCGUUACUGACGCUGAUGCUCGAAGGUGCGGGGAUCAAACAGGAUUAGAUACCCUGGUAGUCCGCACAGUAAACUAUGGAUACUCUCUGCCGGCGAUAUAUUGUCGGUGGCCAAGCGAAAGCGUUAAGUAUCCCACCUGGGGAGUACGUUCGCAAGAAUGAAACUCAAAUGAAUUGGCGGGG